AGGCCAAAUAGGGAAGCCAUGACGCUGCUCGCGUCGCUUCCGGGUAGGCUGCUAGAGCCCGUCGGUAACGGCGGGCCCAGAGGAAUGACUGCCCACGACAGAACCCGGCUUAUCGGCGGACUUCCACU
Molecule: RNase P RNA, 128 nt
Filed under: Sterolibacterium sp.
Lineage: Bacteria; Pseudomonadati; Pseudomonadota; Betaproteobacteria; Nitrosomonadales; Sterolibacteriaceae
Description: partial RNase P RNA component class A
Rfam family: Bacterial RNase P class A
About the family: Ribonuclease P (RNase P) is a ubiquitous endoribonuclease, found in archaea, bacteria and eukarya as well as chloroplasts and mitochondria. Its best characterised activity is the generation of mature 5'-ends of tRNAs by cleaving the 5'-leader elements of precursor-tRNAs.
Source: RNAcentral